UCAGCAGCCGCGGUAAUACGAAGGAUCCAAGCGUUGUCCGGAUUUACUGGGUUUAAAGGGUGCGUAGGCGGACUUUUAAGUCAGUGGUGAAAGCCGGUAGCUUAACUAUCGAAUUGCCAUUGAAACUGAAAGUCUCGAGUAUGGUUGAGGUGGCCGGAAUGUAUCAUGUAGCGGUGAAAUGCUUAGAUAUGAUACAGAACACCAAUUGCGAAGGCAGGUCACUAAGCCAUAACUGACGCUGAGGCACGAAAGCGUGGGGAGCAAACAGGAUUAGAUACCCUGGUAGUCCACGCCCUAAACGUUGAUAACUCGCUGUUGGCGAUACACAGUCAGCGGCUAAGCGAAAGCGGUAAGUUAUCCACCUGGGGAGUACGGUCGCAAGAUUGAAACUCAAAGGAAUUGACGGGGGCCCGCACAAGC
RNAcentral lists this ribosomal RNA (420 nucleotides) under uncultured bacterium. RNAcentral's name for it is "bacterial SSU rRNA". It matches the Rfam family "Bacterial small subunit ribosomal RNA", at positions 508 to 930 of the family's 1533-position model. The record is from RNAcentral.